RNAcentral lists this ribosomal RNA (253 nucleotides) under uncultured bacterium. Its description in RNAcentral is "partial 16S ribosomal RNA". It matches the Rfam family "Bacterial small subunit ribosomal RNA", at positions 524 to 776 of the family's 1533-position model. The record is from RNAcentral.
GACGGAGGAUGCAAGCGUUAUCCGGAAUGAUUGGGCGUAAAGCGUCCGCAGGUGGCAGUUCAAGUCUGCUGUCAAAGACCGGGGCUUAACUUCGGAAAGGCAGUGGAAACUGAACAGCUAGAGUAUGGUAGGGGCAGAGGGAAUUCCUGGUGUAGCGGUGAAAUGCGCAGAUAUCAGGAAGAACACCAAUGGCGAAAGCAGCUCUCUGGGACGGUACUGACGCUGAGACGCGAAAGCGUGGGGAGCGAACAGG